This 635-nucleotide ribosomal RNA is filed under the name uncultured bacterium. RNAcentral describes it as "bacterial SSU rRNA". The stretch from base 1 to 533 matches the Rfam family "Bacterial small subunit ribosomal RNA", at positions 338 to 873 of the family's 1533-position model. The record is from RNAcentral.
CCUACGGGAGGCAGCAGUGAGGAAUAUUGGACAAUGGGCGCAAGCCUGAUCCAGCCAUGCCGCGUGCAGGAAGACGGUCCUAUGGAUUGUAAACUGCUUUUAUACAGGAAGAAACACCUCUACGUGUAGAGACUUGACGGUACUGUAUGAAUAAGCAUCGGCUAACUCCGUGCCAGCAGCCGCGGUAAUACGGAGGAUGCAAGCGUUAUCCGGAAUCAUUGGGUUUAAAGGGUCCGUAGGCGGUUUAAUAAGUCAGUGGUGAAAGCCCAUCGCUCAACGAUGGAACGGCCAUUGAUACUGUUAAACUUGAAUUAUUAGGAAGUAACUAGAAUAUGUAGUGUAGCGGUGAAAUGCUUAGAGAUUACAUGGAAUACCAAUUGCGAAGGCAGGUUACUACUAAUAUAUUGACGCUGAUGGACGAAAGCGUGGGGAGCGAACAGGAUUAGAUACCCUGGUAGUCCACGCCGUAAACGAUGGAUACUAGCUGUUCGGAGCAAUCUGAGUGGNGUAGAGAAGAGAGUAAGUAUACCACCGUACGGGAGGUACGUUACGUCGAAGAAGUAGAAACGUACGAAAGUAGUAAGUUAGUACGGACGUAGAGACGUUAGCGACGGACGACGACGAGGGGAGGUAGG